AAGUCGAACGGUAAGGAUCACUUCGGUGAUUACACGAGUGGCGCACGGGUGCGUAACGCGUAUGCAACCUACCUUUAACAGGAGGAUAGCUCCGAGAAAUUGGGAUUAAUACUCCAUAAUAUUAUUUUAUUGCAUGAUAAAAUAAUUAAAGCUACGGCGGUUAAAGAUGGGCAUGCGUGACAUUAGCUGGUUGGUAAGGUAACGGCUUACCAAAGCGACGAUGUCUAGGGGGUCUGAGAGGAUGAUCCCCCACACUGGUACUGAGACACGGACCAGACUCCUACGGGAGGCAGCAGUGAGGAAUAUUGGUCAAUGGACGCAAGUCUGAACCAGCCAUGCCGCGUGCAGGAUUGACGGCCCUAUGGGUUGUAAACUGCUUUUAUUUGGGAAGAAAGGUCGCUACGAGUAGUGAUUUGACGGUACCAUUUGAAUAAGCACCGGCUAACUCCGUGCCAGCAGCCGCGGUAAUACGGAGGGUGCAAGCGUUAUCCGGAUUCAUUGGGU
RNAcentral lists this ribosomal RNA (504 nucleotides) under uncultured organism. Its description in RNAcentral is "bacterial SSU rRNA". It matches the Rfam family "Bacterial small subunit ribosomal RNA", at positions 59 to 559 of the family's 1533-position model. The record is from RNAcentral.